GUGGGGAAUAUUGCACAAUGGGGGAAACCCUGAUGCAGCGACGCCGCGUGAGCGAAGAAGUAUUUCGGUAUGUAAAGCUCUAUCAGCAGGGAAGAAGAAUGACGGUACCUGACUAAGAAGCACCGGCUAAAUACGUGCCAGCAGCCGCGGUAAUACGUAUGGUGCAAGCGUUAUCCGGAUUUACUGGGUGUAAAGGGAGCGUAGGCGGUGCGGCAAGUCUGAUGUGAAAGCCCGGGGCUCAACCCCGGUACUGCAUUGGAAACUGUCGUACUAGAGUGUCGGAGGGGUAAGUGGAAUUCCUAGUGUAGCGGUGAAAUGCGUAGAUAUUAGGAGGAACACCAGUGGCGAAGGCGGCUUACUGGACGAUAACUGACGCUGAGGCUCGAAAGCGUGGGGAGCAAACAGGAUUAGAAACCCGUGUAGUCC
This 426-nucleotide ribosomal RNA is filed under the name uncultured bacterium. RNAcentral's name for it is "partial 16S ribosomal RNA". It matches the Rfam family "Bacterial small subunit ribosomal RNA", at positions 354 to 796 of the family's 1533-position model. The record is from RNAcentral.